UGAGAUUAUUCUUGAACACACCAGCACGCGAUCGGAACACAAUCUACCUCUUAAUAAUGAUUCCGAGAUCUGACCCAUCAAUCGCUAUCGCUAUCGCUGCUGCUAUCUCCACCUUCGUGUUUGUGGCCGUGCUCACCCUUCUUCUUCUUCUCCUUCUUCUUCUUCUCCCCUUUCUCCUCAUGAUGAUCACCCCCAUGGAUCUUAUCCUUGAUCUUGUCCAUUAUCCCUUCCUUGUGCGCCCCUUCUCCAUGGUGCUCCUCGUGCUUCUUGUGUUCAUCGUGAUGCUCACCCUUGUGCUCGCCCUUGUGAGCGUCGUGGUGCUCUCCCUUGUGAUCGCCUCCAAUGUGGAGCUUCUCGCCGAUUUUCUCAAUGAAUCCAGACAUGUUUUGAUGAUGAAUUUGGAAUGGGGUUUUGAAGAGGAUGCGUGUUUGUGGAAAAUGGGGAAGGAAAGAAGGGGAAUUUAUAGAUGGCGAGGGAGGAGGAAAGACGAAUUGAAACGAAUAAAUUCAGUUUAUCCACAAUGUAUCCGUUGAUUUUGAUUGACGUUAUCUUAUUGCUUUAAUAAUUGCGUUUUUUUUAUAUAUUAUUAUUAUCCUUUUUUUCUGAUUCGUUUACGCGGUAACGCCACGUGUCACACGCUCUUCACCACGUCUUUGUUUUUUCCCUUUCACUUUCUAUUUAAUUCUAUUUUUUUGCUUUCAAUCAUACUAAAAAUAAUAAUUAGAUAUCUAAUCAGAAAAGUUUGGAGAAUUUGUUAGAAUAAAUUGUGCCAUUUCUACAGGUUAGGUUCAAGAUUUUGAAUGGGUUUGCGUUCCACCAAGUAAAUAUGAAUAUUAAUUGUAAAGGAAACUAAGAAAUUGAAUCUGAGAUUUUUUUAAUCAAAGAAAUUUACUGUGUUGGAUUGAGAAAAUUUUAAGUGUAUAUCAUAGUGUGUAUAAGAUAUGAAGUAAACUAAGUAUUUAUAGACUUAUUAGGUACUUUUAUUAUAUUUUUUCUUUUUAUGUUUAAGUGAUUUAUUUGACAUUUUUUUAAAUUUUGAAUUAAUGGGUGUUUUUCUAAAGCAUUAAAGCAUUCACUCAGAUGAAAUCUACCAAAAUUAAUUCUGUGUAACUUUUCAUUUAAUAUAAUGGACCCAUGAUGCCAUAACUCAAUUAAUGUUUAAAAUAAUAAUAAAAUAAACGUGUGAAAUUAAAUGAAAAAAUAUUGUUUAAAAUGAAUUUGAUUUAGUGGUAUUUGUACGACGUUUGUUUUUAUUGUUAUCGAUAAAAUCUUACUUUGAUCUAUAUUGAUGAAUAUAUUUUUUAAAAAAAUCAUGAAAAAACUAUUAAAAAAAACGUUUUAACUCUAAAUAAAUCAAAAUACUUCAUUUUGAAGAAAAAUUUAAGUACUUACUAUUGAUAUUAUAUUUACAUUAGUAUGUUUAAGAGUUAUGUCCUUUAAUGCAUCUAAAUCAUGUCAAUAUCUACUACUUAAGUAUACAUCAUUAUAGCUUUAUGAAAACUAUAUCCGUUCUCCACUUUUGAAUUUUCUCAACUUAGUCCACUUAUUCGUUUUCUAAUGAAAACAUCAAAUAAUGUAUGACAAAAUUUCGAUGUUUCGUUUUAACUACGAAGAGAUAACAUUUCUCUUUUCAUUAUAUAACUCUCGACUAUAUUGGUUGGUGUUUGAAAAUUUAAUAUCUUUUAGUUGAAAAAUAAUUAUAUAUAUAUAGAUGUACUCAUUCAUCGAAUAUGAAAUUUGAUGUAUAGAGAUCCGAGUUUAGAAAAAAAUUACAAUAUUAUUAUUUAGUAUUGUUUCGAGUCACGAUAUAUAUAUAUUAUAUAUAUUUAUUUUAUAAACAUCCUUUGAAAUAUUAAUGUAAAUAUAAAAUAGAAGUCAUGGAUAGGCGUGCAGAUAUGAAAUAAAAUGAAAUAAUUAUUUACUAAUCCAACUUGUAAUAACAUAAUAAAUAGCAAUAAUAAUACAUAUGAAUCAAAAUUAAUUUACAUGUUGACAUUAAUUCGGUUAUAUAAAGAAAAGGUAAACCUAACAAUUUGAAACUAUGGAAAAUAAGAUGUUGAACUAGAAGAAUCCUAAAGUAAUGCUCACAUGUUGAAUUGAAGACUAUACAAUUACAUUAUUUCAUCAUCAUAGUGAACCACUAUAAGAUAGGAGAUUGAACCUCUCACAUUUAAAAUAGAAGAACAUAUCAAUUAUUAUUGAACCAAGUUCACUUUACAUUUAUAAGAAGUAGUAUGUAUUAAAAUUUUGUUUAAACUGAAUUGUAAUUAAAAUGAAAAUCCUAUCAUAAAAUUAUAUGGCGUGAAUAGGUUAUUUUGUUUAGUUUUACCUAUUUUUUUCACAUAUUCAAUAAUCAAACUAUCACAAAAGUGUGGGUCUAUAAAAAGAUAAUAGUGAAAAUGGAAGAUUAGUAGUUUUAAUUGAAUUUAAUACACAAAAGAGGAGAAAUAGGUAAUUAAGAAAAGUAAAUAUCAAUAUACUAAAAAGUAAAAGAAAUAUGGGCAAUGGAUUGUUUAUUCAAGCGGGAUUAAGAGAAGCCACUCAUGGGAUGCCACGUGUGAAAGAUCCAUUGCCGACAUUUUGGUGUUAUAUUUGUAGAGGUCUCCGCGUUGGCCGACAUUUCAAUCAAAAAAGUGGUCGGCAGAUAAAUACCACGUGUCGUUCAUCUAAGCAUCCACGUGAAGUUAUUCUUUUUUAUUUUUUGAUUUUUUGAUUUUUUGAUUUUUGUCGUGUAGUGGAAAAUGUGGGAUUUGAGUCCAAAUUUUGAUGCAUGACUUUAUGUAAUAUCUAAACUCAUAUGUGGUUAUAAUUGAUUUAGCCAUAAAUUAAGCCUUUCAAUUUGCACCAUCUAACCCAACUUUAAUUUACAUACUAAAUCUAAUAAAUCAUCUCUCCUUAUUUCAAUCUCAAUUCCCUUUAAUUGCCUCUAUUCUUUCUUUACCUAUAUUUGUUCAUCCUAAUUAAGGAAUUCUCUUAUGUAAGGUAACAAAUAAAAAAAGCAAUAAUCUAAAUCUAAUCAUUCCAUCAUAUAUUAUUUUAGUUUAAGAAUAAAAUAGUAAAAUAGUAAAAAAACUAUAGCAAAUAAUAGGGAGUUUGAAAUAAUAUUUGUAGUAGCUAAUUGAGAGUUUUAAAAUAGUAUUUAUUGUAACUAAAGAUUGUCAGUAUAGUUUUAUAUAAUCCUCGUCCCAAAUGACAUGUAACAUGUGAUUGAAGUAUAAUUAUACACAUUUUUUAAUUUUUUAAUUUUUGAAUAAGUAUUCAUUGAACGUGAUCUCAUCGAUAUUUUAAUUUGGUCGAAAUUUCCAUAGAAGAAAGAAUAUACGAUUAUAAACUUAAUCAAAUCAUUAAAAAAAUAUAGAGUACUAUCUCCAUGAAAAUUCAUGGAUAUCAAUGAUUACACCCACCAAAAGAAGUAUCUAUCUUUUUAUAAAGAGUGUUGUAUUCGUCAGAGUUGAGGUAUCCCGAGUUGUGUUACAAACAGUUUAAUAACACAGAAGAAAAAAAAGCAUAGAUAAAUAUUUAUUCAUGUAAUAAUUGAUCUCCAGAUAUGUGGAAAAAUGAAAGGCAGAUUGAGUUUUUAUGUUUUUGUUGUUUCGUAGUAUUUUUCUUUAAAACGUUAAGAGAAAAUCAAAUAUUGAGUAAAAAGAGGAAAGUAUUGUUUAAGAAUUUAUAUUUUGUUUUUCGUCAAGAGUAUAUAGUGAUAGAAAUGAGAAAAAAGAGAAUUAAAAGGAGGAAAAUUCUUCACGUGAUGAGCAUCGAAUUCCUGGUCCAUGAUAUAUUCUUCAACAUAUAGCCCUUUUACCCUCUCAUAAUUCACUCUUUCUUCAAACUCAAGAUUUCCAAUCUAAACCCUUUUGAUGACUUUAAGUAGUGCUGUGAUUUAUGCACUUACAAUGAUCGUCUUCUUUAUCUCGUAAACAUAGGGUUUUGGUUUUUCUUUUAACAAUAGGGUUUAGUUGGUCAAAUGAGGUUUUGUGUUCAAGUCCAUGCGGUGCGAUACUAUAUUAUUCCCUCUCCAAUUAAAAUUGAUUCACAUGUCGUGUGUCUUCUCACGUAUCGACAUAAUUUAACUUGCUUAAUGAAUAUUAAUUGAGAGAGCAAAUAACAAUGCAAGAAGUUAAACACAUAACUGCGUUUGGACCAUAUGUUGCUCUAACCAUUUUAAAUUGUUGAUUGAUUUAAAAACUUAAGUUAGAAUUAUGUGAAACUUAAACGAAUUUAAUCCUAUAUCAUCUAAACCAUACCGUGCAUUUAUUCAAAAGUGGUAAAGUAUAAAAAAGAGGUAGGGAUUUGAUGUUAGUCAUGCAUAUAUAUAACUUUAUUUUGCUUAGUUUUCACGAUAUUGCUUGAGGCUUCCUCUUCAAUCUUUUAGUCUCUCCCUCAUUAAUAUGUGUAUAUAUAUAUAUAUAUAGACACAACCAAACUUUUUUCUUUUCUUUUCCCUUCUUUUCUUUCAUUAUUAGUACUCUUUUCUUCUUUUGCUUUUUCCUUCUGCUUCUUCUUCUUUCUUUCUCUUCACUUUAUUAUGCUUAUAUGAAUAAAGAAAAAUUAGUGUAUGUGAUUUUUGUUUUUACAACAAAUUAUCUCAAUAUUUAAAUGAAUGAGUUUGACAAUUUUACUCUAGAUUUCUUUUAGGGCGUUUCUGUGUUUGGGUCGUUGGAAUGCUUUUAAUUAGGAUUGGUUGAAUAUAUGCUUGACCAUUCAAAAGUAAGAUUUAUUAUUAUCAACACAACCAACUUGCACCACACAAGGAGAUUGGAAUUUGCCAACACGGCAAACUGCCAGGAAUUUAGCUACAUGUGACGUCGGAAAGGUUAUCGCAACAUUGUUUUAAUCAUCAACAAUUUGGCCAAGGGAGGAGACCCGUCUAGCAGAGAACAAAUGUCGAUGCCUGCCACAUGGUGUUUGGGAGUAAUGCUCAUAAUACACUGACACAAUUAUAUCAUUGGAAGUUAUAUGUUCAGUCCCCUAAUGCCUCUAUGAAGGUAUCAAGAUCUAUUCUAAAUUGUCGACGCUUUAUUUAAUCGUUGAUAGAAGUUGUUUAUCUCAACAAUUUACUUUUGAUGUGUUUUAUGUAUGAUGACAAAUACGUUUUUCUUUUUUCUUUUUAGUAUUGUGCAAGUGUUCAAAACUUAAGUGAAAGAGUGUGUCAUCUCCCAACUCAGUAUCUUUCAUCAUCAACCUAUUUACCCAAUCCUUUUUCGGAACUUGAAUUUGAAUAUUUGGUUUUUACAAUCUGAAAAUGUCUGUUUGAAUCACUAAAAUCUCGUUUAGUAAUUAUUUUAUAUUUAGUAUUUUUUGUUUCGAUAAUUAAAUUUAUUUUUUCUUUUCUUCUUACAAUGAUUUACAACUUUUGAAUUUUUAAUCAAAUUUAAAAAACAAAAACAACUUUUUAAAAGUUACUUAUUUUAGAUUUCAAAAUUGAGCUUAGUUUUUUUAAAACAACUAGUAAAUAGUAUAUAACAAAUAAUGAAAUUUAGAUGUGGAAGUGAUGUAGAUAGACUUAAUUUUCAAAAAGAAAAAUCGAAAAAAUAAGAUGACUACCAAACGAGUCCACAAUUUUUUAUCAAUGUCAUAACCUAAGGGUUCAUAUAACAAAGUAUCUUGGUAUUGGUGAAUGAGUUAAUUUAACCAUAUAGUAACUAAAUCUCCAUCUUAUUUUGUCAAUAUUGGAGUAACUCCAAAUUUUUGUAAGAUUUUUAGUCAUUCAAAUAAUACAAAUACUAUGUAUGAAAAAAAUCAUUAACUCAAAUCACAUAAAUACUUUAUACUAAUACUUGGGUAUAUGAAUUAUUCUUCCAUACAUCAAUUAUCAUACAGUUUCUUUUCCAUAAAAGUACCAUUUAGAUAAUCCAAAAAUUACACCUAUAUAAGUUUGGAUGUAUUUUGGAAAAUCCAUCGGAGGAUGACACUCUGUUAGGGGGAAGGCCCAUUUGUACAAACCCCAAUUUAUUGGGCUUUUAAAUUUUCAACAUCGGCUCAUUUGAACAAGCCCAUCUUUAACUAUAAUUUGGGCUUUCGUAAAAUAAUAAAUAUUGAUAAAACUAAUUAAGGAAACCCAAAUUUUUUGUUAAAUAAUUGUUUGAUGCUAUAAUUGGAGGAGAUUGUGGUUAAAGCUUAUGUAAUUAAGGUAUUGGUAACAAUUGUUUUAUUAUUUAAUUGGUAAUAUUAUAUUAUCUCUUUACGAGAAAAAAUCAAGGUUGCUAGUGCACUAUUUGAAGCAUAUGUAGUCAACAUAUGUGAUGAUAUGUUCAACUAAUAACCUAAAUUUUCUAUAGCAUAUGACUAAAGUUGGAUGGAUUAUCGUAUCAAUACUAUUAUAUUGAUAUUGUCCAUUUUAUAAUAAUUACAAAUGAUUUGACCUAAACCGUUCAUAUGAAGACAUGUGAGUACCAAGGAUAUCUCUGCAGACACAAAUGUUAUAUCUCUCUUUGCAACUUUAUAAAGCGAGAAGAUAAAAAUUAAUAUUUCACAAGACGACAACCAUAAUCCUAAGACAACCAUAAUAUUUCACCCUAUCAUUAGUUCAAGAGAGACUUGAUUUAUAAUUGAAUCUAAAACGGUUGUUCAUAAAAGUCAAUAGAUCUUUUAAAGAUGCAAUAAUAGUAUUUAUAAUUGCAUAAUAAAGUGUUCAUUGUUAUUGAUCAAUAUAUGUAGACAUACCACAUGAACAUAUCUCUUGAAAAAGAACAAAUAUUGUUAAUCAGCGGGUCGCUAACGAGUGACUUGACUUUUUUGUAUCAAAUGCUAAGGAGUGUCCAAACAAUACAUUGAUGUGUCAAAAUAUUUUAACAAACUUUUAAAAAAUAAAACGCCGUAUUUAAAUAAUAGAAUUCAAAAGGGGUAAAAUAGAGAAUGUAAUUUAGUAUAUUUAGUCCUCUUUUUGUUUCUCUAUGAUUGUUAUUUGUAAAUAUAACUUUUCUCCCUCACUAUCUCUUCAAAUCUCUUGAGGAUAUUUCUUUACUUCCUUUCUAUUAGUUCAUAAAUAUGAAUAUAAUUAAAAGUUUGAAAACAGUACUUUUAAUUUAAAAUGAAAAAUAAAAACAAAAACUAUUCCUAUCACUAAAUGGAAAUAAAAAGUUUAUAAUGAUUUUAGUUUAUCAAAUUCCAAAUUCUAGAAUAUUAUUUUUCUAACAAUUUCUCCUUUUCUUUUUCAAUAAUGUAAAAUGAAUAUUUUAUUUUUUAAAAAUAAUUAUCAAGUAAACUUUUCAUCUUUUUAACCAACCCAUAUUAUACAUCAAUUUUACAAUAUAUAUUUUUAAUUUUGAGUGAAGAAGGUAAAAAAAAAAAGGUAAUUAAGAUAUAUUUAUUUUCCAAAAUAGAAAAAAAAAAAAGGAAAAACAAAAAAGAAGAAUGUGUACGGAUCUAAACUCUAUAAUUCAAACCUUUGCUCAAAUGGUGAACUUUUGAAAAAAGAAAAAGCAACAACAUUUACUUAAAAGGAUCCCCAGAUAUAAAGUUUAGAGUAUGAAGUGAUAAUUGAUUCAAUUAAUACUUUUUGUCCAAAGAAAAUAAAACAAAUUGAUUACUUACUUGUUUAAAUCUCCAUCAUUGAAGACUUGAGAAAGUGUUUUAAAAUUUAUAAUGGAAUUGAAAUAUUUUAUAAUGUAAUAGCAUUUUGAGUUUAAAUCGUAAUAUGAAACUCAUUUCAUUUUGACAGUAUGUAAUUAUUGUGUUAUCAACUCAACACACAUUCCAACGUUUAUCUAAUCUAAUUGUGUUGAUUAAUGGGUAUAUAAGAAUCCUUCCUCUCACUUUUACAAAGCAAAAUUAGAAAAAGAAAAAGGCAAAACUUUUGACCUAUUUUUUUUCUUUUUUUUCUAAGGUUUUAUCAAAGAUAAUGCAAUUACUUUUUGGGCCACUAAUUUAGAGGAGAUUUGAGUCACUUCUCAUUAAAAGUAUGUAUUCUCAUCAUGGAAAUUUUUGGGAAGGGUAACAAACUUUCAUUUAGCUUUUUGUUUCCCUUUUUUCUAUUGCUUCAAGGAAAAAGAAAAAGAAAAAGAAAAAAAAAGAUUAGCUUUUGGAUUUUUUUUCCCUUUUUUUCUUUUAAUCUUUCUUUUUAAUUACUUUUGUUUUCUUUUUCCCUUCCUUUUAAUAAAAACAAUGGGAAAAGGAAAAGGUGAAGUGGCUUUCCUAAUGAUUCUAUAUUUUUUAUGGUGUGUUUCUUUAUGUUAUAAUAUGAAAUUGGUUAAAAUAUGGCUUUUCUCUCCGUUUAGUUUUUAUGUUUUACAAGGAUUAAAAAUGAUAUUUUAACCAAUGAAAUUGAUGUUUUGUACUUAGUUCGACAACUCGAUUUUUAUUAUUUAAAUAUUUUUUAGUUCAUCACGGGAGGUAUAAAUUUGAAUAAGGGGUGAAAUUAACGCAAAUUACUCAUGAACUAAUUAAUAAAUUAAACUAGUAAAAACUUGAGCAAAUAGUCACAUAAUGUUACAAUGCAGCUCAUUAGAGAUUGUUCUCUAUUUUGACCAAAAUCUUUCGAAAAUGAAGUAGUUUUGUGUUGUGUUGGUGUUUCAUUGAAUUGAUGUUAAAUGGCCUUGAUUCUUGUGCUAUCUUCCCAACACCCCCACUUACAAAGGCUACUUGAAAAUUAAAUGAGUGAUAAGAUCUUCACAUCCUUUGCUUGGUUGGCAGCUCUUAUAAAUAUUUAAUGAUCCUUUUCCAAAGGGGACACCCACACCCCCCCUUUUCUUUUCUUUUUUUUUCUUUCUACUUUCUUUUCUAAUAAAUAAAUAAAACACACAGUCACUCUCUCACAAAGUCCUUUUCAUUUCAAUGUAAUGUCCCUUUCUCACAGAUAGUAUUUUAUCUCAAUUCUAUUAUCUCCCUCUCAUUUUCAUUUUUUUUUUUUUAUAUAUUUCUACCCUUUCUAUUUUCCCUUCUUUAUGUUUGCAUCUAAUUUAAAUUACUAUAAUGAUAUUUGCUAUGUUCUAUAAAUUAGAUGUUGAAGUUUUGAAUUGUCAUUCUCGCAGUUGGAUAUGCAUUACAUUUGGUUUUAAAAUAGUUAAAACUACUUUGGUUAUAAAGACUAAAACGGGUAUGGUUUUUAUAUGAAUUUUCUGGCAGAAAAAGGUAUGUUCUGAAAGCUCAAAAAGUUCAAAUAAAAUGCAUACAAAUAUUUUACAAAACUUCAUCAACAAAUAGAAUAAACCUAAAAGUUAUGUAAAACCUAGUUGAAAAUAGAAACCCCCAUCAAAGAUACAUUGCUGUUCUCAGUUAGUGGCAGAGGCAAUGGAAAGAAUAGAAAUGACAGAUACUAAACUGUGGAACAAAAAAACACAUCAUAAACCUUAUGUACCAAAUUUCUUCCGAGCUUUCAGAGAUUUAUAAACAGCUUUUAAGAUUAAAAACAAAAAAUACAUUUUUAUGUGCUCUGAUGGAAAAUCUAUAAAAGAGAAUAAAAGCUUCCAGUUUUUGCUUCCAAAAUUUGAGGAGUAUCCCUAAAAUGGCCUUUGCUAUCUGCAUUAGUUGUUUCUGAAGUUUCAAAAACACUACCUUUCGAAAUGUUUUCCUUUGGAUAUGGAUGAAUUCCAAAUGUGGUCCAUAUAGGACUCCUUGAAGCCUCGCUUGGGUUAUCCACUCGUAACGUCUUUGGAACCACCACGCAUUUCUCUGACUUCUCGUCCUCUGCUAGGCUGUUUGUAUCUCUCAAAUGCUUACCGAGUGUAGGCGAUGAGCUUGUGGGGCAGGUGGAUGUUUGAGAUGCACAGACAUCAGAAGGAACAACGGUUAAAUUCCCAGUACCGGUAGAAGUCCAUACGGGCGUACAACCCCAGCAUGAGGCUGGGACGAAUUGUAAUGGAAGGCUUGGAGUGCAAAACCCUGGAACUGCCAGCACUGUUGCUGGGAGCCAUUGAACUGGUGGAUUGGGAUGACUGCUAGUAUUUGGUACACUUGUGCUAUCUGAGCUUUGGGUCAUUGCUGAUGAAAUUAGGCUGCUUCCGCCCUGAUUCAAUGGAAAAACCAAUUGUGGAACGGGGUAACAAUGAACCGUAUUUGAUGCAGUGAUAUCACUACUAGAGUUGGACAAUCUAACUGCCUCUGGCCUCUCGAUGACACUUUUAGGCAAUUCGUUUCCACGAAUACUAGUAGUUGUCAUGGAAGAUCCGCAUGAGGAUGGUUCUUCAGGACUGUCUCCACAAUAUGCAGACCCAAUCUCAAUGGAUCUCUUCUGAUCUCCAAGACUCAGCACAGUCUCCAUCGAUUCACAAAGUGGUGCUUCGGGUCCAAACUUUAGGACAGUACUACUUCCAUUGGAAGGCCUCAAAGCAGAAGGAGACUCGAUAUUCGAGAGUAGAUGAUGGUGAUUUGUUGCAUCCGAAGUUUCCAAGCGGGUUGUAGCAACUCCCUCGGAGGAUACUAUUAUCUGUCGGUAUUGAGAUGCCAACUGCUUGUUUCUUCGUCGUCCAGCACCAAUAGGAACGUUUCUCAUCGUCCCACCAGCAGUCCAAUAUCUUUGGCAGUUCUUGCAGAAAUGCCUAGGUUGAUUGACAUUAUAGUUGUUGAAGUAACAAAAUUUUGUUUCCAAACUAUUACAUCUAGGACAAGGAAUGAUUUUGUCUGGCUUCUUAAAUGCUCUUUCUUGAUCCGUGCCAUUACCAUCCUCCUGCUCUUCUUUCAAAUGUAGUUCUGAUUCUCCCUUGUUUGACGUCACGUUCGAAGCUUGGUUUUCUUCAUUAUCCCCUACCAAUACCGAAGACCUCUCUGAUGGGCAAGAGUCUUCUGCACCUGAGACUGACUGCUCAGCUUUUUUCAAAUUGUUGCAAGCAUCCUGAAAACAGUAUUCAACAAAUUGACACUUAACAACAGUCAGAAAAGAGAAGCACACAAUCGACAUACGUCGAAAAAAAAGCCAAGAAGUGUAUCAAAAUCUACAAGGAGAUGGGAUUUUACAAAACAAGACCUCAGAGCCCUUCCCAAAUAAGGUAAAAAUUACAUUCAUUCAAGAAAGAUAGUACAAUAUGCAACACGAAUGAAAAGAUACAAGGAAACAUGAUAUAAAUGAACAGAACACUUCCAUUAAGGAAUCAAUCUUCAUCAAACAUUUUCAGCAGCUCCAGAUAUUCACAAGAGAACUUCAUUUAACCCUCAAUGGAUCCACUACAAACUGAACCAAAAAAACCAUCUGAAUUCCACAUUCAAAUUUGGCUAAAAACAGUUCUCCUAAUGAACUUCUUCCAAAACCACAAAGUUGGGAAAGGAACAGUAAAGUCAACCAAGGCCACAAAAACAUUACAAGAACAAAUCUAAACAAAAUCAUAUAUUGAAGUUAAAACCCAAUAAGGGCCCCAACCCAAAUGCUUAGAGAACCCAAAAAAACAUAUACACACAAUGAAAAGAAGAGUUGAAAUGAGAGUAGAAGAGGGGGAAAGAGACAACUCAAUAGAAGAAGAAGAAGAAGAAAAAGAAGAAGAAGAAGAAGAAGACCAAGAAUAUGAAUAAGACAGUUAAAUGAGCAUUUCAAUAAUCUUUUCCAUGUCCCACAAACACACACACACACACACACACACACAGUAAAGGCAUUUUUCAGAUUAAACCCAGAAAGCAAGAAGCCAUCAAAAUAAAGAGAGAAUGAAGGAAAGGGGAGGAAAUAAAAUAGGUACCGGAUUAUGAAGAGGGGCGGCGGAAAUCUGGGAUUCCGGCAAAGGGAUGGUCCGACCGAAGAGUUUAAUGGCGAGAUCCUUGAAAUGUGGGGGGGAAAUGACAUCCUGUGUAGUAGAACUGGACAUUUUGAAAAAUGGGUUGUUAAUGGAGAGUAGUUUGAUUGAGAAAGUGGGAAGGUUUGGAGGUGAAAAUCAAUGGAAGAAGACCCAUUCAAAUAUAGAGAGAGGUUAUGAAGGAGGGAGAAGGAGAAGGAGAAGAAGAAGAAGAAGAAGAA
This 11875-nucleotide long non-coding RNA is filed under the name Cucumis sativus (cucumber). Its description in RNAcentral is "long non-coding RNA (CSAT_LNC001269)". The record is from RNAcentral. Lineage: Eukaryota; Viridiplantae; Streptophyta; Magnoliopsida; Cucurbitales; Cucurbitaceae.